This 348-nucleotide ribosomal RNA is filed under the name Triticum aestivum (bread wheat). Its description in RNAcentral is "partial small subunit ribosomal RNA". Lineage: Eukaryota; Viridiplantae; Streptophyta; Magnoliopsida; Poales; Poaceae. The record is from RNAcentral.
AUGAUUAGCCACUUCAGUCAAUACCGAAAAAGGCCAUCGUCUCGCUUUAUACAUAAAGCAUCAACCAUUACAAAGGAACCAUACAAACACACCGACACCGCUCGGGAUACCAGCUAUACAAUAGAAGCUCACACUGGCGAACAGGAAACUAGAAACUUGGACAAAGCAAAGCUAAAUGAAGCACUAAACCAAAGGGGCUUGCUUGAACCUAGCAAUGGGCACAGGUUUCCCGAAGCGCCACGGCGCCACUCAUCAAUCAGGCCACCGCACCCUCGGCACACUCCAAAAGCCAAGACCGGCGAUGUAGGAAGAUACCCUCAGCUUGAAGGAGGAGGGCACAAAAGAUGA